Molecule: ribosomal RNA, 1317 nt
Filed under: Appias remedios
Lineage: Eukaryota; Metazoa; Arthropoda; Insecta; Lepidoptera; Pieridae
Description: 16S ribosomal RNA
Source: RNAcentral
AAAGGAAAAAUUAAUAAAAAAUAAAUAAAAAAAAAAUUUAUAUAAUUAUUUAAUGGGGGUUAAAGUAUUUAUAUAGAAAAAAUUUUUUAAUUUAUAAAGAAUUAGUAUUGUAAAAGAAGUUUGAAAAAUUUUAAAUAGAAAAUUAAUGAAAAGUAAAUUUUAUUUAUUGUAUCUUGUGUAUCAGAGUUUAUUAAAAAAAUAAUUUAAGGUAAUUUAUUUCGAAUUUAAAGGAGAUAAUUAAUUAAUAAAGUUAAUGUGGCAUAAUUAUUUUUAAUAAUUAAUUGGAAAUGAUAAGUUAAUCGUUUUUAAAGAUAUCUAGUUUUUUUAGAAAAAAAUUCAAUUUUAAAUUGAAUUUUUAUAAAGAUUAAUUAUUUAAUUAAUAUAAAAUUCAAUUAAAUAUUUUAGGGGAUAAGCUUUAAAUUAAAAAUUUAUAAUUCAAUUAAAUUUAAUUGAAGUUUUUAAAAUUUAUAUUUUUUAUAAAUUAUAAUUUAUUAUAAAUAAUUUCAUUUAAUUAAAAUUUUUUUUUAUAUUUAAAUUUUUAUAAAAAUAUAAUUUUUAAUUUAUAAAAAUUAGAAUUUAUGAUAAAAUUAGUAUAUAAUAAUUAAAUAAGAAAAAAUUAAUUUUAAUUAAUAAAAAGGAAUUCGGCAAAUGAAUAUAUUCACUUGUUUAUCAAAAACAUGUCUUUUUGAAAAUAAUUUAAAGUCUAAUCUGCCCACUGAAUGAUUUUAAAGGGCUGCAGUAUACUGACUGUACAAAGGUAGCAUAAUCAGUAGUCUUUUAAUUGAAGACUUGUAUGAAUGAUUUGAUGAGAUAUAAACUGUCUCUUUAUUAUAUAUAGAAUUUAAUUUUUUAGUUAAAAAGCUAAAAUUUUUAUAAAAGACGAGAAGACCCUAUAGAUCUUUAUAUUUUAUUUUUUUAAAUUUACUAUAUAAAAUUUUUGAUUUUUAUAUAAUAAAAUAUUUUAUUGGGGUGAUAGAAAAAUUAAAUAAACUUUUUUUAAAAAUUAAACAUUAAUUUAUGAAUAUUUGAUCCAUAAUUUAUGAUUAUAAGAAUAAGUUACCUUAGGGAUAACAGCGUAAUUUUUUUUUUUAGUUCAAAUAAAAAAAAGAGUUUGCGACCUCGAUGUUGGAUUAAGAUAAAAUUUAAAUGCAAAAGUUUAAAAUUUUGAUCUGUUCGAUCAUUAAAAUCUUACAUGAUCUGAGUUCAAACCGGCGUAAGCCAGGUUGGUUUCUAUCUUUAUAUAAAAUAAAUAGUUUAGUACGAAAGGAUCAAUUAUUUUAAAUAAUUUAAUAAAAAGAAUAUUAUUAAUAAAAAUUU